Molecule: ribosomal RNA, 405 nt
Filed under: uncultured bacterium
Lineage: Bacteria
Description: bacterial SSU rRNA
Rfam family: Bacterial small subunit ribosomal RNA
Source: RNAcentral
UGGGGAAUAUUGCGCAAUGGGGGAAACCCUGACGCAGCGACGCCGCGUGAGCGAAGAAGGUUUUCGGAUUGUAAAGCUCUGUCUUAGGGGACGAAGAAUGACGGUACCCUGAGAGGAAGUCACGGCUAACUACGUGCCAGCAGCCGCGGUAAAACGUAGGUGGCAAGCGUUGUCCGGAAUUACUGGGUGUAAAGGGAGCGCAGGUGGGCUUGCAAGUCAAAUGUGAAAGGCGGGGGCUCAACCCCCGGACUGCGUUUGAUACUGUAGGUCUUGAGUGGAGUAGAGGCAGGCGGAAUUCCCGGUGUAGCGGUGGAAUGCGUAGAUAUCGGGAGGAACACCAGUGGCGAAGGCGGCCUGCUGGGCUUUAACUGACACUGAGGCUCGAAAGCGUGGGUAGCAAACAGG